AGAUUCUUGGUAGUUCAUCAGUUCCGACCUUGGAUGAUGUGUUUGCUCGCCUCCUCCGUAUCUCGUCCACUCAGACUUUGCCAUCUGAUAGCGCUUCAGAUUCUUCUGUGUUAGUUUCUCAAACUACCUCUCGAGGAGGACGUAGUGGUACUCGAGGUAGAGGCCAACGUCCUCAUUGCACCUAUUGCAAUAAACUUGGCCACACUCGCGAUCGUUGCUAUCAGUUACAUGGAAGACCUCCUCGCACUGCCCAUAUGGCCCAGUCCUCUGAUUCUCCGCUGCCUCAGCCUCCGAGCUCCUCCGCAUCUCAGACAUCUCAGGCUUCUAUUGCCUCUGUUGCCCAGCCUGGUAAUGCCUCUGCCUGCCUUACCCACACAUCUUCUCUUGGACCCUGGAUUCUAGAUUCUGGAGCAUCUGAUCACCUAUCUGGUAAUAAGGAUCUUUUCUCCUCUAUUACUACUACCUCUGAUUUACCUACUGUUACCUUAGCUAAUGGUUCUCAAACUGUGGCUAAAGGUAUUGGUUUGACCCUUCCUUUGCCUUCUCUACCUCUCACUUCUGUCCUUUAUACUCCUGAAUGUCCUUUUAAUCUUAUUUCCAUCAGCAAAAUCACUCGUACUCUUAAUUGCUCUAUUACCUUUUCUGAUAAAUUUAUGACCUUGCAGGACCGGAGUACGGGGAAGACGAUUGGCAUAGGACGUGAGUCUCAAGGCCUCUAUCACCUCACCUCAGAUUCAUCUCCUGCAGUUUGCAUUUCCACUGAUGCUCCUCUCCUCAUUCACAAUCGUCUGGGCCACCCUAGUCUCUCCAAGUUCCAGAAGAUGGUUCCUCGUUUUUCCACUUUGUCGUCGCUUCCGUGUGAGUCAUGUCAGCUUGGGAAACAUACUCGUGUCUCGUUCCCAAAGCGUUUGAAUAAUCGGGCAAAGUCUCCUUUUGAGCUUGUCCACACUGAUGUUUGGGGUCCUUGUCGGACUGCGUCUACUUUAGGAUUUCAGUAUUUUGUCACUUUCAUUGAUGACUAUUCUCGAUGUACUUGGUUAUUCUUAAUGAAAAAUCGAGCUGAGUUAUUCUCUAUUUUCCAGAAAUUUUAUACUGAAAUCCAAACCCAGUUCAAUAUUUCUAUUCGUGUGUUACGCAGUGACAAUGCCAGGGAAUAUUUUUCAGCCCAAUUUACUUCGUUUAUGUCUCAUCAUGGGAUUCUUCAUCAGUCUUCUUGUGCUCAUACUCCUCAACAAAAUGGGGUAGCUGAACGCAAGAAUCGACAUCUUGUUGAGACAGCUCGUACUCUCCUCCUCCAUAAUCAUGUUCCUUUUCGUUUUUGGGGGGACGCUGUUCUUACCGCUUGUUAUUUGAUUAAUCGUAUGCCCUCCUCUGUCUUACACGAUCAGAUUCCUCACUCCCUUCUUUUCCCUGACCAACCACUUUAUUUCCUUCCUCCUCGUGUCUUUGGUUGUACUUGCUUUGUUCAUAUUCUCACUCCUGGACAGGACAAGCUUUCCGCCAAAGCCAUGAAGUGCCUCUUCUUGGGAUAUUCCAGACUUCAGAAGGGUUAUCGUUGUUAUUCCCUUGAGACUCAUCGGUACUUUAUCUCCGCUGAUGUCACCUUCUUUGAGGACUCACCAUUCUUUUCCACCACCUCUGAGUCUCUUCCUGUUUCUGAAGUCUUGCCCAUUCCCAUUGUCUCCCCACCUGAUGCUAUGCCCCCUCGACCACUUCAGGUUUAUCAUCGUCGCCCUCGUGUCGUUGCUCCUCUCCCUUUUCCUGAGGCACCUGCUGACUCACUUCCUAUCCCUUCGGCUUCACUUGCCCCGGCUCUGCCUUCUCCUAAUGACUUACCCAUUGCUGUUCGGAAAGGUACUCGCUCUACUCGUAAUCCUCAUCCUAUUUACAAUUUUUUGAGUUAUCAUCGAUUAUCUUCACCCUAUUCUGCUUUUGUUUCUGCUAUAUCCUCUGUUUCUCUUCCAAAGAGCACCCAUGAAGCUUUUUCCCAUCCAGGCUGGCGAUAGGCAAUGGUGGAUGAAAUGGCUGCUCUGCACUCUAAUGACACUUGGGAUCUUGUUGUUUUACCCUCUGGUAAAUCUACAGGGUGUUGUCGUUGGGUCUAUGCAGUUAAGGUUGGUCCUGAUGGUCAGGUUGAUCGCCUUAAGGCCCGCUUAGUUGCUAAAGGCUAUACUCAAGUUUAUGGUUCUGAUUAUGGUGACACAUUCUCCCCUGUUGCCAAGAUUGCUUCUGUCCGCUUGCUUCUGUCCAUGGCUGCUAUGUGUUCUUGGCCUCUUUAUCAGUUGGAUAUUAAAAAUGCCUUCCUUCAUGGUGAUCUUGCUGAGAAAGUUUAUAUGGAGCAACCUCCUGGUUUUGUUGCUCAGGGGGAGUCUGGUUUAGUGUGCAGGUUACGCCGCUCUCUAUAUGGCUUGAAACAAUCUCCUCGAGCAUGGUUUAGCCGUUUUAGUUCUGUUGUUCAAGAGUUUGGCAUGCUUCGCAGUACAGCAGACCAUUCAGUUUUUUAUCAUCAUAACUCCUUGGGGCAGUGUAUUUAUCUGGUUGUUUAUGUGGACGACAUCGUCAUUACAGGCAGUGAUCAGGAUGGUAUUCAGAAACUAAAGCAACAUCUUUUUACCCACUUUCAGACCAAAGACUUGGGGAAACUCAAGUAUUUCUUGGGAAUUGAGAUAGCUCAAUCCAGUUCUGGUGUGGUCCUUUCCCAAAGGAAGUAUGCUUUAGACAUCCUGGAAGAAACCGGUAUGUUAGACUGUAAACCGGUAGACACACCUAUGGAUCCGAAUGUCAAACUUGUACCAGGACAGGGGGAGCCUUUAGGAGACCCCGGGAGAUAUCGACGGCUCGUAGGUAAAUUGAACUAUCUCACCAUUACUCGUCCAGACAUUUCUUUUCCUGUGAGUGUUGUUAGUCAAUUCCUACAGUCACCAUGUGAUAGCCAUUGGGAUGCCGUAAUCCGUAUUCUUCGAUAUAUCAAAAGUACACCAGGCCAAGGUGUAUUGUACGAGAACAGAGGUCAUACUCAAGUUGUUGGUUACACAGAUGCAGAUUGGGCUGGCUCACCCACAGAUAGACGUUCCACUUCAGGGUACUGUGUUUUUAUUGGAGGUAAUCUAAUAUCUUGGAAGAGUAAGAAACAAGAUGUAGUGGCCAGAUCUAGCGCUGAAGCCGAGUAUCGAGCUAUGGCUUUGGCAACAUGUGAACUCAUAUGGUUGAGACAUCUUCUUCAGGAGUUGAGAUUUGGAAAGGAUGAACAGAUGAAACUCAUCUGUGAUAACCAGGCCGCAUUACAUAUUGCAUCCAAUCCAGUCUUUCAUGAAAGGACCAAGCAUAUUGAAGUUGACUGUCAUUUCAUUAGAGAGAAGAUCGCAUCAGGAUGUGUUGCUACAAGUUUUGUCAAUUCAAAUGAUCAACUAGCAGACAUCUUCACUAAAUCUCUCAGAGGUCCUAGGAUUAAAUAUAUUUGUAACAAGCUUGGUGCAUAUGACGUAUAUGCUCCAGCUUGAGGGAGAGUGUUGAAUAUAAUGUAUGUAUAGUAUACUAUCUUUCCUUGUUAAUAUAGGUCACAUGUAUGGUAGUUAGGACUCCUAGCCUUGUAUAUAUAUAUCUCUCAAUUGUAAGUAGAGAUUACAAUGAAUGUGAAUAAGGUUUUUCUCCUUUCUCUCUCUCUCUCUCAACACUUACCAUCUUCUAAGUUCUUAAUGUUAAACUGUAGUGGCUAAUGAAAUUAAGACAUGAGGAGUUAAUUUCCUCCUGCUUUAAACAAUGUUCAAGAUCUGACUAUGGUUUCUGGCUCUAUCAAACUUAUACCUUAGGAUCCUAAAAUGAUGUAAUGCUGUGAGCCUAUGAUCCUUCUUCUAAUGUAGAAAGCUAGAUUGGAUAUCAGUUCUCAUUAAUUUGAAGGAAGGUGACUGGUUUUUUUUCCUAAUGCUGUGAGCCUAUGAUCCUUCCUCUAAAGUAUAACAAUAUGGCAAAAUUAGUUAUGCAGAAAGCUAGAUUGGAUAUCGUUCUCUUUAAUUUGAAUGAAGGUGACUAGGUUUUUUUUUCCUUCUGUGGAGUCAUUUUGUGUGCAUAUUCUGAACUCAUGAGUCCUUCAUGCCUUUCUAUUUUCAGUUGACUAUUUAUCUGCCACAUUUUAACUGCUGUCCAAAAGCUGAUUAUCACUAAAUUAUGGAUUUCAAAUGUCACAGAUGGCUUGAGAACAUUCGAGAUUGGUGCGUCUCAAGGCAACUUUGGUGGGGCCACCGCAUUCCUGCAUGGUAUGUGACAUUGGAGGAUGACAAAAUGAAGGAACUUGGUGCAUACACUGACCACUGGGUGGUUGCUAGAAAUGAGGAAGAGGCUCAAAUUGAGGCUAGCAGAAUGUUUCCUGGGAAGAACUUUCAGAUAUCUCAAGAUCCUGAUGUACUGGACACAUGGUUUUCUUCUGGUCUCUUCCCAUUAACUGUGUUGGGCUGGCCAGAUGAUACACAAGAUUUGAAGGCAUUUUAUCCAACUUCAGUUCUGGAAACUGGGCAUGACAUUCUCUUUUUCUGGGUUGCUCGGAUGGUGAUGUUAGGUAUUAAGCUGGGAGGUGAUGUGCCUUUUAGAAAGGUGAGUGAACUUUGCUAUCAUCUAUGAUUAGCCAAAUUGUGGAAACUUGUUAGUUGUGAUUGGGUUGCUUGUGGGGCUUCUGGUACUUCAUCUGUGUGAGUUAUGGUAGGGAGUUUCAAAUCAUGCCCCAUGUUAUGAUGGAGAAUUUCAAAUAAUGCAAAUAGCCUAGGCUCUUUAUUGCAGUCUCCUAAUAGUACCUCUUGGUGCUAUCUGCCAUGGGUCAGUGACAGAUGUAUCUUUCCCUUGAUACACUUCCCUCCCCUAAAAAAUAUGCAUUAAUUGGAAAUCACAUUGAAACAAUUUUUGUGCAGUCCUGUCAUAUGUGGGGUCACGGGUACAAUAGCAGUUGAGGUGCAGUAGGAAAAUAAGAAAAAAUUGUACUCUACUUUAAAUGAUUAAUUUAUGUGUGCAAAUUUCUAUUAAAUUAGUCUAAGCAAAUCCAUGGAUGUACAUGAACUUUCUGCAGGUUUAUUUGCAUCCCAUGAUUCGUGAUGCACAUGGGCGUAAGAUGUCUAAGUCGUUGGGAAAUGUUAUUGACCCUCUUGAAGUGAUAAAUGGGAUAUCCCUUGAAGGUCUUCACAAGAGGUUGGAAGAGGGUAACUUGGAUCCCAGUGAACUGGUAGUUGCCAAAGAGGGACAGGUGAAGGACUUCCCUAAUGGUAUUGCUGAAUGUGGUGCAGAUGCUCUUCGUUUUGCUCUUGUGACUUAUACAGCACAGGUUUGUACGUCUACCAAUCUAUUUAUCUCCUAUUUGGUUUUGUUUCCUUGAUAUAUCAAUUUUGUAACCUUGCAUCAUCUGAUCAUUCCAGUCUGAUAGAAUAAAUUUGGAUAUCCAAAGAGUUGUUGGGUAUCGCCAAUGGUGUAAUAAACUGUGGAAUGCUAUACGAUUUGCUAUGAGCAAGCUUGGAGAUGAUUACACCCCACCGAUGGAAAUAGUUCCAGAUGUUAUGCCAUUUACCUGCCAAUGGAUACUCUCUGUACUGAACAAGGCUAUAUCAAAAACAGUGUCAUCAAUGGAUUCAUAUGAAUUUGCGGAUGCUGCCAGCACAGUAUAUUCAUGGUGGCAGUUCCAAUUGUGUGAUGUAUUCAUUGAAGUAGUUAAACCUUUCUUCUCUAGUAAUGAUCCUAAAUUUGCAUCUGCGAGGAGGUUUGCCCAAGAUACACUGUGGGUAUGUUUGGACAAUGGGCUGCGGUUGCUUCAUCCAUUUAUGCCAUUUGUUACAGAAGAAUUGUGGCAGCGCCUUCCUCCAGCAAGAGAUUGUGCUAGGAAAGAAUCAAUUGUGAUAUCCGACUACCCAUCAGUUGUACAGGUUAGUUACUAUUUUUUAAUUGAAAGUGUCCAAGACACAAAGUGGUAGAAAAUGAGAUGGUUUACCUGGAGGUGGAGACACUAUUUGAUGAUUCUUGACAUAGGGGAUCUGUUUAAUAGGAAUUUAUAUACCAGCUAGCAUUAUUCAUCAUUAUCAGUAGGGAUCAGUUCAGAUGCAUCAGAUGAUACCCAAACCAAGCAAAAAGUAAAUUAUCACAUGAAUUGUUUCACUGGACUAUACUUUAACAUAAUGUGAUACUUUUAAAUUGAUACAUACAAGCUAAUAGAUAAUUCAUAUGCCUUCACAGGAAAGUACAUUAUGAUGCAUUUAGUUAUUUUUAUCUGAUUGUACUACAAUUACCUGCAAUAUUGUCCCCUGCCGAAAGAAAAAGUAGUGUCCAACAUUAGUUAUUCCCUAGGCUUCACAUUUGUUUAGUUAAGUUGCAAUAUUUUUAUCCAAUUUUUUGUUGUCUUUUUGCUAGUUUUACUUUUAUCCUUUUCUUUUUGGGUUUUUAUUUUUUAUUUUUUAAAAUUUAAUUUUCUCUUCAUUUUUUAUAUAAAAUUUUUCACUUUCAUUUUAGUGGGGUGCAUGCCAAGUGUUAAGAGGUUUUAAAAUUCUAGCUGAAGGCAAAUUUUACUUCUAAUUUGCUUAAACUCUGUUGAUAUCUCAUUUUCUUUUACAGUGUUGGACAAAUGAAAGAGUAGAGUAUGAGAUGGACCUCGUGGAGUCUACUGUGAAAUCACUUAGGUCUCUCAGGUCUUUGAUGCCUGCUAAGGAACGGCAUGAAAGGUAAAUAUUUGAAUUCACUUGGGCUAUUGUCUGUGUUUCUUGCAACAUUUGAUCUGUAUCGUUUUCUUUUCAUUUCUUCUAGUAUUUUCUGCCAGGAAAGUACUACAAUCAAUUUCCGUGAAUUGAAAUCUUGUUGUAAUUGUGGUGUGCUAAUGCUGAAACUGAUUCUGAUUUUCAAGUUCUUUUGGGAUCUUUCUUAUAAUUUGUCAAAAAUUAUAUAACAAAUACAUUUUCAUGUUCUUUUUCAGUUAACUCUAAAAUUUAAUGAACAAAAAAUAUUUGACUCAUGCUGCUCAUAAAUACUAUAAGAGUAAAAUGUCACAUAAUUGCAUGAUGUAGUCGCAAAGGGAGCAAAAGAUUGUUGAGUGAGUGAUUGGUGAUAAGAUAUGUUCCAUGAAUAGAAAAUUGACAUAUUUCCAUAAAGAAAAUUGACAGAUGUUUUGAUGUCCUCAGUUCUAGGUGAAAAUAUACAAAGAUAAUUUGAAGUAACACAAUUAGCGAUGCACGUUAUUGGUUCUGUUUGUAGAUUGCCUCAAAGACAAUCUUGUUCAAUGUUGUAUGUUGGCUAAAGAGAUUGACUAUUUAGAAUUUUUUGAUAAGAAGCAAGAUUUAUUAAUCAUAUCAAGGGAAAUGUACAAGGAAGAACCAAAGAUCUCUCACAAUUAAAAGAGAAGGGGAAAAAAAAAAUUGAACCAAGUGUGAACCAUCUCCUUCUCUUUAACCAUUCAAGGAGGAUAGUGAUUCCCUAUGAAUGCCUCUAGAAAUGUUUCUCCCAUCUUUGCCCACCAGGUGCCUAGAGAUAUCAAGAAUUCUCCUCCUCUGGUGAUCUAACACCAUGGAACCCACUUCCCAUUGCAGCCUGAAAGAUAACAACUAAGGAGCUAUCAUUCAACAAUAAAUUUCAUAACCCUAGAGGAACAUAAUUCUUUUCAGCCCUCUAACAAUGAUAGAAUGAUUGCAGGAAGCCUGAAAUUUAUGGCUGUUCAAAAGAGGAUAUUUGGGGUUGAGGGGUUUCACUUGUUUCUUUUGUUUUCUUUUGGCAUUUUCUGUAUAUUUAUUGUGUACCUAGGUUCCUCCCCACCCUCUCUUUUUGUUAUAUGCUUUUAAUAAGUUAUUUUCUUUGCUUAUCAAAAUAAUAAUAACAAUAAUAAAAGAGCUUGGAGAACCCUGUUAAUAUAUCCUCUAAUUCCUAUCUGACCCUGCAUGGUGGGGUUGGAUAGUGGUAGUGGUGUCGUUGUUGGGUUCCAAUUCAGCAUUUACCUAUGAUUCUACUAGUAGACAAUCCCCCAAUCUAUAGCAAUAAUAUUGAAGGGAUGCUGACAGAUUCCUUGGUGGAAUACACAAGGGAAAUUGGUUGACAGAUUCUGUCCCUUGUAUCACUGUCCCUUGCUUACACGUUCUAACCUUUACAUUCCUUCCAACCAUAUCGCAUAGUGGUUAGCUUGGUGUACUUCCAUGGUUCCUUACUCAUUUUCUCCUAUCAAAUUGCUCUGACAAAAAAAUUAUCAUGUUCUCUUAUUUAGAGCCCCAUUCCAUGGGAUCCUUGCCAUGGGACUUGUAAAAGAUUGAACAACAUCAGAAGAAAUGGUCGGCUGAUAUCCCACUUGCCAUAUCCAUCUAGGCUAAUGGCUUUAUAAUUUCUCCUACCUUGGAACAUGUCAUUGACAUUAACCUUCUUAUGAGCUACUAACCAUUAAAAAGCUUUGAUGAUAGUGUGGGAAGGGAUCAUUUGCUUUUCAUAUGUAUCUGGUUGGAAGGAGUGUGCCAAUAUUUUCACUCUUGGAGAGGCUAUUAGAAGGAUUUAAAAGCGAAAAAUGUUCCUGGUAUCUAAACUCCAACAUCUCUUAUUGAAAGAAAAUCAGGCAAAUAAACAUCUUAAAAGGAUGAUAACAGAAAAGGAAGGUUGUUCUACUCAAGAGCACAAGAUUUCAACAGAAGUUGAAAAUCUGAGAUGGUGGAUGAUAACAGAAAAGGAAGGUUGUUCUACUCAAGAGCACGAGAUUUAAACAGAAGUUGAAAAUCUGAAAUGGUGAGUGAUGUAGAAUGAUAGAGAGAAUAAUAUAGAGUGAAAUAGAAACAGAAGAGUGAUUCUCCAAGAAAAUUUCGAAUAUUAUCAAAGUUUAGUUUUUAUCUCACUAGAGCUAUAUAGAGAUAAGCAAUCUUAACUCAAGUAGGAAACUAAUUCUAAUAAUAAUAUAAAGAAUUUUUACUAUAAUAAAACAAUACACUAAAUAAUAACCACCCUAAAAUAAAUAACGGAAUAAAAACAUUAUCCCUUCCAUUAUUUAUGUCUAACAUUAGUGUGUAAUUUAACAUCUUUAUCUCCAUCAUUUUCACCUUAUUGAAAAGAAUUCGACUUUGGUGAGUUAUAUUGCAUAUAUUGCUCCAAAAGAUUAGGAUCGAGUUGAAGGAACUCCUCAUCAGUAAUUCAAGUAUCAUCAGUUGGCAGCAAUGAAGCAUAAGGAGCAUGAGGUACUGAAAUGGAGGAUUGUACUGCACAAAUAGAAGAAGACAAAACUGGCAGCAAUGAAGCAUAAGGAGCAUGAGGUACUGGAAUGGAGGAUUGUACUGCAAAAAUAGAAGAAGACAAAACUGGAGGUUUGAAUAUGCCUCAGGGUAAGGAAAUGAAUCUGUCACCUUGAAAGUUGGAGUAGUCCUAGGGUUUGGUCAAGUACUGACUAUGACUGAUAAAUAGACCUAAGGGCUAGGAUGAAGCUGACAAGAAUUGGCAUGUUGGAAAGGGGCACGCCUCAUGGGGCAAGAAGUAUUUUUUAAUUUCUAUGGCCUUAUGUAAGCUUCCUCUUAAGGAACUAGGAGAAUAUAAACUUACCACACUAAAAAUUUCAGUUCUCAAACUAUUUAUAAACCUAAUAACAGUAACCUAAUAAUCUUGGUAAAUACCACAAUGUAACAUUAGUUUCUCAAAUUAGGCCAUAUACUCACUAACAGAGGAAGUAGUUUGCCUAAGGUUCAAUAAUUGUGCCUAAUAAGUGAUUUCUAUGAGAGGCUGGUAGGUACUUUUAUGUCAGUCUUCGUCUUUUCCUACACACUAAACCUAUACAGUUGAUGUUAGGCAAGACUGAUUGCUAAUAACACUUAGCAAGCCCUACUAAUUCAUCAUAGCAAAAUGAACUCAUGGAAUGGUGGUCAUGCCAUAUGAAUCAAAGUAAUCUUUAACAUUUACUAAUUAAUCAAGAAACAUCUGGGUUUGGCCCAUCAGGAAACUCUGGAGUGUCUUCCUUGAUCUCCUAGUGAUAUCACCUUACCUCAUCUUGGAUAUACUUAGAUUGUUCAUAAUGAUACUAUAGAGGCAAAGGUUUAUAUUGUUGAUAAUGAUAUCUACCCUGAGGCCCCCUGUGCUUAAAGGUAUUCCUAGGGCCUUCAUUGACAAAUUGUGAUCUAGACUCUUUCCAAUCUCCAAUAAUAAUCAUUAGGGCACCAAAAGCUUCAUCAUCGUUAACAUCCUCAUCCUCAUCCUCAUCUACUACUCUUACCAUUUACUAUAUCUUUAUGUAUAGGUGACUUUCUUAGAUGUGUAGGUGGCAAAACCAGUUGGGACUUCUCAAGUCCUCUAUGGUUUACACUCUGGAUUUUUCAAUAAAUGACUUAGGUCCACUGCAAGUUUGGUCACAAUAGCUUUUAGCUAAGCUUGUAGAGUUAUUGCAAUGGGUUUUGUACAUCCCUUUGAAAGGCCAGGUGAGAUUGUUCUAAUUUAGUGACUUUCUUGUUUGGUGAAAAACAAAAAUUGGGAAAAAAUGGAAAUAAGGACAAAGUAUUAAAAAAGGGAUAAUGCUGAGAUAAACUUGUAUUGCUUCAGUUAAUAUCAAGUUACUCUUAGAAUGGAUGCACAUAAUAGGGAUAAAAACUCAAAUAAAGGACUAUGCAAUGACUCUAAAAGAAAGACAAAAGGUGUGGAAUAGAUAUGAAAUAAGUAAAGAUAAAUAAAGGAAAAACUGAAAUAAAUAGCUUAGUUUUUUUUCCCUUCCCUCUAUUUUUUCUCUUUCUUUUUUGAAGGUAAUAGGCAAAAAAGGAAAUAAGAAUAAAUUUAGGAAUCCUAGUGCAUUAAGCACUUAGAAAAACUACCUAAUGAGACUUAAUGGAGGUAUUAAGCACUUAGAUUGGUGCAAGAUUUAGAUGAUGCAAAACAUGUUGCAACAUAAGUGGCAGUAGUUAGUGGUGAGUAUUUCAUGUUGCAAAACACUUCCAUAAAUUGACCUUUGAUAUUAAUUGACGUGGGAUAAUAUAGAGAAAAGAAUACAAAGGAGUGAAAUCGAAGUGGAAGAGAGAAAUUCUAAAAGAAUUAUGAAUAUUAUUUGUUGAAUAUAAUGUAUGUAUAGUAUAUUAUCUUUCCUUGUUAAUAUAGGUCACAUGUAUGGUAGUUAGGACUCCUAGCCUUGUAUAUAUAUAUCUCUCAAUUGUAAGUAGAGAUUACAUGAAUGAGAAUUAAGGUUUUUCUUCUUUCUCUCAUUCUCUCUCAACAUGGUAUCAGAGCCAAGGAAGAAAACCUAAUUCUUUCCUGUUUCUCGUGUCAUCAACUCCGGGAAACCUUCCGGUGACCGUGUUUCUUUCCGGUCACCUUCCCCAUCUCCCAAUACUUUCCGAUCAGUCGGAUCGUCGUUAGAAACCACUCACCGCCGGCGAACUUUCCGGCGACCUAUUUUUCCGACACCGACCAUACCAGAAGGAGCGCCUGAAGGAGAUCUCCAACUUUUGUGAAGGCAUCGGCACCAAAAAGAGCAUCCACGCGUCGUCCACGCUCCAUUUUCCGGACGACGGCUGCAUCUCACGCGCUGGCGCGUGAGGCAUUUUCCGGCGAAACGCCUCCUCCUCCAGUUUCGCCUGACGCUGACCAGCCUCCCUACCUCCCUGGUUCUCCCAUCCGAGCCCUGCACGUACCUCUUUUGGGGAUUUUUGUCUUCGUCGGCCCUCCAAACAGUCUUUCCGGCGAAGCUCCGACUACUUUUUCUCCACUCCAAUCCCUGCACGUGUCUUGGUAAGUGUUCUUCUACCUUUCUGGUGGUACCACGCCGUGAUCUGAGGCCGUCUCCCUUUUUCAGUGGUGCCACGCCGCAAUCUGAAGCCGUAUUAGGGCUCUCUUCGAUCCAAACAUACUUCAUUCUCCAGAUAGGUGGAUAUGGCUACUAAAGCUUCCAUUUUUUCCUCUGUCAUAUCUAGAUCUCCUAUAAUUACUUCGGAGAAAUUAGUUGGCAGUGAAAAUUAUCUUUCCUGGUCUGCCUCUGUUGAACUUUGGUUUAUGGGUCAAGGAUAUGAGGAUCACUUGAUUACACAGGAGGCAGAUAUCCCUGAGGUUGACCGCGUACAGUGGAGGAAGAUAGAUGCACAGUUAUGUAGUGUAUUAUGGCAAUCGGUUGAUCCCAAGAUUCUUCUUCAUCUUCAGGCCUACAAAACUUGUUUUAAAUUUUGGACUCAGGCCAAAGGAUUAUACACAAAUGAUAUCCAGCGUCUUUAUAAGGUGGCUUCUGCUAUUGUCCAUAUCAGCCAACAGGACUUGGAUCUAUCUACUUAUAUUGGCCAAGUUGCCUCUCUUAAGGAGGAGUUCUUGAUUGUGAUGCCUCUUACUCCUGAUGUUGGGGUUCAACAAACACAGCUUGACAAGUUCUUCAUGGUUCUUACUUUUAUUGGCCUCCGUCCGGAUCUUGAGCUUGUCUGCGAUCAGAUUCUUGGUAGUUCAUCAGUUCUGUCCUUGGAUGAUGUGUUUGCUCGCCUCCUCCGUAUCUCCUCCACUCAGACUUUGCCAUUUGAUAGCACUUCAGAUUCUUCUGUAUUAGUUUCUCAAACUAGCUCUCGAGGAGGCCGCAAUGGUACCCGAGGUAGAGGUCAACGUCCUCAUUGCACCUAUUGCAAUAAACUUGGCCACACUCGCGAUCGUUGCUAUCAGUUACAUGGACGGCCUCCUCGCACUGCCCAUGUGGCCCAGUCCUCUGAUUCUCCGCUGCCUCAGCCUCCGAGCUCUUCCGCAUCUCAGGCUUCUGUUGCCUCUGUUGCCCAGCCUGGUAAUGCCUCUGCCUGCCUUACCCACACAUCUUCUCUUGGACCCUGGAUUCUAGAUUCUGGAGCUUCUGAUCACCUAUUUGGUAAUAAGGAUCUUUUCUCCUCUAUUACUACUACCUCUGCUUUACCUACUGUUACCUUAGCUAAUGGUUCUCAAACUGUGGCUAAAGGUAUUGGUUUAGCCCUUCCUCUGCCUUCUCUACCUCUCACUUCUGUCCUUUAUACUCCUGAAUGUCCUUUUAAUCUUAUUUCCAUCAGCAAAAUCACUCGUACUCUUAAUUGCUCUAUUACCUUUUCUGAUAA
This 13001-nucleotide long non-coding RNA is filed under the name Vitis vinifera (wine grape). Its description in RNAcentral is "long non-coding RNA (VVIN_LNC005487)". The record is from RNAcentral. Lineage: Eukaryota; Viridiplantae; Streptophyta; Magnoliopsida; Vitales; Vitaceae.